CCACAGUCUAGCUAUUGUGAAUUGUGCUGCUACGAACAUAGAUGUGGCAGUAUCCCUGUAGUAUGCUCUUUUAAGGUCUUCAGGGAAUAGUCCGAGAAGGGCAAUACUCCUUAAAAGUGAUCUGCCUAUGUUAAACUGAAGUCUCAGGAGAAUCUAUUUUUAUAACUAGAAUUUCUAUCCUUCUUCCCCCAACUAAAUGUAUUUCUUCUUAUUUUAGCUAUGAUUAUAAAAUUCUGAAAAAGAAAUUUUGUAAAUUUAAACUAGAAAAAAAUGUGGUUGAUUCUUUUUAUUCACUUGAGUUAUAUUCCAGUUUGGGGGAAUUAUUUAGUCAAUAAGUGCUCCUGGUAGGAAAUGUAUCACAUGGAUUGUAAUCUUUAAUCUUAAAAACAAUUCAUGCUAGUAGAUUCCAUUUUUUUGUUUGUUUUUUUGAGAAGUUGAAGUUUAGAUGUGAUUUGCCUGAAGCUGCCCCAUUAACAGGUGCCAGAGUUGAAAUUCUGAGCUCCUUGCACUACACUGCACUCUGAUCCUUGCCAUCUCUGUCCUCUUUUUUGCUCUAUGAGAGCUGAAACAAGGCAGUGUGAUCACCAUGUUUGAAUGUAGCUGAACAUCAUUUUACAGUAACUCAAAUUUCUUGCCAUAACUCUGUGUGUGUCUACAAAUGUCUAUGAAAGCACCAUUGGUAUGGAUUUGUGGGUUUCAAAUAAAUUUGAGCAAGUAGGCAAAUACAGCAUUUGUGAAUAAUGAAGAUGGAAAAUACAUAUAAUACAGCAUAUUUUAUAAACUUAGAAGAUUCUACAGGAAGUUGAGAAAUUACCAAGACAAGAGUAUUGUUUGGAUAACAAAAGCGUUAACUAGCACUUAUUAAGUACUUACUCUACAACAGGCAGAAUUCAAAGCCUCUUACACAUAUUAAUGCAUUGAAUCAUCACUACUACCCUAUGAGAUAAGGGUACCUUUAUCAUUUACAUUUUACAAAUGAUGGUACCAAGACAACUCAAGAUGAAAGAAAUAAUCCAGGUGCAGAAGUGAUGUAUUGAUA
This 1039-nucleotide long non-coding RNA is filed under the name Marmota monax (woodchuck). Lineage: Eukaryota; Metazoa; Chordata; Mammalia; Rodentia; Sciuridae. The record is from RNAcentral.